Molecule: ribosomal RNA, 478 nt
Filed under: uncultured bacterium
Lineage: Bacteria
Description: partial 16S ribosomal RNA
Rfam family: Bacterial small subunit ribosomal RNA
Source: RNAcentral
GACGAACGCUGGCGGCGUGCUUAACACAUGCAAGUCGAACGGUAAGGCCCUUCGGGGUACACGAGUGGCGAACGGGUGAGUAACACGUGGGUGAUCUGCCCUGCACUUCGGGAUAAGCCUGGGGAACUGGGUCUAAUACCGGAUAGGACUCCUGGCUUCAUGGUUGGGGGUGGAAAGCUUUUGCGGUGUGGGAUGGGCCCGCGGCCUAUCAGCUUGUUGGUGGGGUAGUGGCCUACCAAGGCGACGACGGGUAGCCGGCCUGAGAGGGUGACCGGUCACACUGGGACUGAGAUACGGCCCAGACUCCUACGGGAGGCAGCAGUGGGGAAUAUUGCACAAUGGGCGCAAGCCUGAUGCAGCGACGCCGCGUGAGGGAUGACGGCCUUCGGGUUGUAAACCUCUUUCAGCUAUGACGAAGCGCAAGUGACGGUAGUAGCAGAAGAAGGACCGGCCAACUACGUGCCAGCAGCCGCCGCCG